RNAcentral lists this ribosomal RNA (467 nucleotides) under uncultured bacterium. RNAcentral describes it as "partial 16S ribosomal RNA". It matches the Rfam family "Bacterial small subunit ribosomal RNA", at positions 28 to 506 of the family's 1533-position model. The record is from RNAcentral.
GACGAACGCUGGCGGCGUGCUUAACACAUGCAAGUCGAACGGAAAGGCCCUGCUUUUGUGGGGUGCUCGAGUGGCGAACGGGUGAGUAACACGUGAGUAACCUGCCCUUGACUUUGGGAUAACUUCAGGAAACUGGGGCUAAUACCGGAUAGGAGCUCCUGCUGCAUGGUGGGGGUUGGAAAGUUUCGGCGGUUGGGGAUGGACUCGCGGCUUAUCAGCUUGUUGGUGGGGUAGUGGCUUACCAAGGCUUUGACGGGUAGCCGGCCUGAGAGGGUGACCGGCCACAUGGGGACUGGGAAACGGCCAAGACCCGUAGGGGGGGGAGGAGGGGGGAAUAUUGAAAAAGGGGCGGAAGCCGGAUGCAGCAACGCCGGGGGGGGGAGGAGGGCUUUCGGGUUGGAAACCGCUUUCGCCUGUGACGAAGCGGGGGUGGGGGGAAUGGGUAAAGAAGCACCGGCUAAUUACGU